This is a long non-coding RNA of Manis pentadactyla (Chinese pangolin), 2524 nucleotides long. RefSeq lists it as uncharacterized. The record is from RefSeq and is a predicted model, not a curated record. The transcript has 3 exons. NCBI's taxonomy places the organism in Eukaryota, Metazoa, Chordata, Mammalia, Pholidota, Manidae.
UCCACUCUGGGGGCACAAGGGCAGGGUGAGCGGCAGGGCCACUGGCUGCAGAUGAGGGCACCUGGCAGGGCCUUGAGCCCAGGUGAAAUGGGUGUGCCAGGCUGCCCUGGGAGGUGUCCCUGCACUCCCAUCUAGCCACCACCCAGUUAGAAGUGGUCAGCUACCCCCACCACGAGUUCCCCUUCCUACCAAGGGUCCUGGCUUGGACAGGAGAUGCUGAGCCUGGCUCACCCCCAAGUCAUGCCUUGGACCCUGAGUUUCAGGGUGGCUCCAGACCCAGCUCCUCUCAUGGGGCCCUGAGCCUUAGCCAGGACAGCCCCUGCCACGGGCCCAUACCUUCCGCCCGCAGUGAGGGCUGCCAGCCUCUCCUCCCCAGGCUGAGGUGGGGAGGGGUCGUCCAAGACCCUCUGGAACUGCAUCUCCAGGUCCCGCGGCUUGAGCAGGCGGGAGCCCUCAUAGAGCCAUACCUUGAAAUAGCGGCCCUUGUGGUAGACGGCCACGUGUCUGCUGUCCGUGAGGUGCUGCAGUAUGUCUGCAACAGGCCAGCAGGUGGGUGAGGCUGGGUAGCAGGACACACCGCCCAGCUUGCCUGGCCUCAUGCACUAGAUGCACAUUUGGGGGCCGCAGGCCAUGUGCUGGAACUCCUGCACCUUGUUUAAUGCCAGCAGCAGUGCUAUGAAGCAUUUCAUGGAAGAGGAGAGUGGAACUAGGAAAUGACCCCAACUGUCCCAGGGUCAGAAGCAAGGCCUCUGCGAGCCCGCCUCCACUCUGGGCUCAAGGAAGGGCAUCAGCCUGUCACCCAGCGGCACUGCCAGCCAAGGCAGGAUCCUGACAAUAGGGCGGCAGCUUACAUCUGGCCUCUACCUCCGUGAAGGCUGCACUGUGCACCUGCUGGGAGGAAGAGGCCAGAGCCACCUGCGCCCACCUUGAUGCGGAUCAGGCGUUUCUUCCACGAAUUGAUCCCAGACAGGUAGAUGUGUUUCAGGGCCUCCCGACUGAGCCGGAAAUCGACACCGUCUGGGGUUACUGUGAACUGGAAAGCCACGGCCUGGUGUGCUUCCGCCAUCCUGGGAUCUGGCCGUCACUUGGGGGGCAGGAGCGUCGGGGCUCAGGCCGGCAUGCCGGCGGCCCCACCUCCCGCCCUCUCACCGCUGCCUCCGCCCCCGGGGCCAACGGCCGCAGAACCCUUGCGCUUGCGUUACGGGUGGGGUCGGGAAAGGGGUCGAGGCUUUAAAAGCCAGGAGGCCCGAGGACAUUGAAGGGUUGCCUCGGGGUGGGGGCGAGAGGCGCCCGGAGAAGCGGAGUCGGUCUGGAGCCAAGCGGUGUCUGGGCGCCCCGAGGCCCGACCGCUUGGGGCCCCGGUGCAGUUAUUGCCCAGGGCCCAGGCGCGUGGCCCUGCGCUGUCCCCUACUCCACUCACGGCUCGGGUUCACUCCUGUUCGCGUGCGGGGCCAGUCGCUCUGGCCCGUGUCCCUGUGUCCUUCAGGCCUGGCUACCCUUGCCCCGCCCACAAGAACCUGACACCCACUCCCAAAUUUGGGUUGCAAAGACAGAUGUGGGGCGGCAACCAGAGUCCCCUCCCUUCCGUGGCGGGAAUGGGAGUGGGAAUGGGUGGUGGUGUGCGGGUUUCUGCAAACCUUAGAUUGCUCAAAGGUCUGGGAACCUGGGUGGGUGGCAGGGGGAGGGGUGGUAAAGGGUCUCACGUGAGGAUGGUAGCAUUAGAGCUAAAAAUAGACGAAUGCAGGGAAAAGGUCAUCAAUGUGUCAGCUGUGCUGCCUGCCCAUAUCUCCAGCGCUCAGGGUUGGGCAGCCCCAUCCCAGGGCCCUCUUUGUACCCCUUAUUCCCCAGUCCCCCUAGUAUUUGUCACUUAUAAGCUGGAGCCAGGACGGGGGAGGCCAGGGCCCUCCAGCCCGCUGAGUGGAUCCUUCACCACUUUCGAGCCCCAAGCACCAAACAGCCAUGCUUUUCAGGAGAUCAGGCUCAACAGGGGCCACUUUUGUCAAUGCAUGCACCCUUGGCUGUACUUUGCUGCAAGGCCAGGACAGGGUGUAGAGGAAGAAACUUGUUUAUUGUCUUAAGGUACACAGUCCAGAGGCUCCUGCAGCUCGGGGGUUCAGCCCAGGCCCCAGGGCCUCCUGCUCUUUGCCUCUCUCUCCAAGGUCCUGCCCUGGAGGCUGUGAAGAAAUCCAAGGAGUUGUGGGGUGGUGCGUCAGAAUGAGGGGUGGAAGCUGGUCAGCUGUCCCUUCUGCUGGAAGUAGAACUGGAACCGAGACUGGGCAUACUCCUAGGGAACGACCACCCAACAUGCUGGCCUACCCAUUUUCCUGUCAUUGUGUCACUAGUCUGACUUGUUUGGAAGCCUGUGCUGUGAGACCAGGCUAGACGCUGGGACACCUGAUCCACUCAACUGGAGGGAAGGACAGAGGCACGGAUGCAUCCAGCCGCACCACAGUGUAGUAAAUGCCAGCAUGAGGGUUUAGCCCAGGUGUGCAGGAGCCCUGAGGAAGCCCCUGACUCACCGCUC